Molecule: ribosomal RNA, 119 nt
Filed under: Pteropus alecto (black flying fox)
Lineage: Eukaryota; Metazoa; Chordata; Mammalia; Chiroptera; Pteropodidae
Also listed under: 1 other name
Source: RNAcentral
GUCUAUGGCCAUUCCACCCUGAACAAGCCCAAUCCCGUCUGAUCUCAGAAGCUAAGCAGGGUCAGGCCUGGUUAGUCCUUGGAUGGGAGACCACCUAGGAAGACCAGGUCCUCUAGGCG